CAAGUCGAACGAGAAAGGGGAGCAAUCCCUGAGUACAGUGGCGUACGGGUGAGUAACACGUGGAUGAUCUACCUCUUAGUGGGGAAUAACUAUGGGAAACCGUAGCUAAUACCGCAUAAGCCUGAGAAGGGAAAGCAGCAAUGCGCUGAGAGAGGAGCCCGCGGCCGAUUAGCUAGUUGGUGGGGUAAGAGCCCACCAAGGCUGAGAUCGGUAGCCGGCCUGAGAGGGCACACGGCCACACUGGCACUGAAACACGGGCCAGACUCCUACGGGAGGCAGCAGUGGGGAAUCUUGCACAAUGGGGGAAACCCUGAUGCAGCGACGCCGCGUGAGCGAUGAAGCCCUUCGGGGUGUAAAGCUCUUUCGGCAGGGAAGAUUAUGACGGUACCUGCAGAAGCAGCUGCGGCUAACUACGUGCCAGCAGCCGCGGUAAUACGUAGGCAGCAAGCGUUGUUCGGAGUUACUGGGCGUAAAGGGUGUGUAGGCGGUUGUUUAAGUUUGGUGUGAAAUCUCCCGGCUCAACCGGGAGGGUGCGCCGAAUACUGAAUGACUAGAGUGCGGGAGAGGAAAGUGGAAUUCCUGGUGUAGCGGUGAAAUGCGUAGAUAUCAGGAGGAACACCGGUGGUGUAGACGGCUUUCUGGACCGUAACUGACGCUGAGACACGAAAGCGUGGGUAGCAAACAGGAUUAGAUACCCUGGUAGUCCACGCCCUAAACGAUGCAUAUUUGGUGUGGGCAGUUCAUUCUGUCCGUGCCGGAGCUAACGCGUUAAAUAUGCCGCCUGGGGAGUACAGUCGCAAGGCUGAAACUCAAAGGAAUUGACGGGGGCCC
This 831-nucleotide ribosomal RNA is filed under the name uncultured Bacillota bacterium. RNAcentral's name for it is "bacterial SSU rRNA". It matches the Rfam family "Bacterial small subunit ribosomal RNA", at positions 58 to 922 of the family's 1533-position model. The record is from RNAcentral. Lineage: Bacteria; Bacillati; Bacillota.